GGAUGCGAUCAUACCAGUACUAAUGCACCGGAUCCCAUCAGAAUUCCGUAGUCAAGCGUGCUUGGGCGAGAGUAGUACUAGGAUGGGUGACCUCCUGGGAAGUCCUCGUGUUGCAUCCC
RNAcentral lists this ribosomal RNA (119 nucleotides) under Arabidopsis suecica. The record is from RNAcentral. Lineage: Eukaryota; Viridiplantae; Streptophyta; Magnoliopsida; Brassicales; Brassicaceae.